Molecule: long non-coding RNA, 1510 nt
Filed under: Mytilus galloprovincialis (Mediterranean mussel)
Lineage: Eukaryota; Metazoa; Mollusca; Bivalvia; Mytilida; Mytilidae
Source: RNAcentral
UUCUUUUCCAGUUAACAUUACAUACAGUCUGCAGUUAAAGUUUAUAAAACAUUUAUUAGAUUCAUAAAUUAUCCUGGAUUUUUUACCAAACUUGGAAGCUUCUUUCAAUCAAAGGACAGUAUCGAGAGGGAAUUUUUUAUUGAUGUUUUUCCUCAUUUUUGUUGAGUCUGCGAUUAACAGCAAAAGUAGGCGAGACACUGGGUUCCGUGGAACCCUUACGAAUUUUAUAAUCAUGCACCAAAAAUGACCUUUAUGUCAUUUGGCAAGAAGGUACACCCAUUACAAUCCUCGGUUGUAGUCAAGAAGGUACACCCAUUACAAUCCUCAGUUGUAGUCAGUUGUAGUAGGUACACCCAUUACAAUCCUCUCGGUUGUAGUCAAGAAGGUACACCCAUUACAAUCCUCAGUUGUAGUCAAGAAAGGUUACACCCAUUACAAUCCUCAGUUGUAGUCAAGAAGGUACACCCAUUACAAUCCUCGGUUGUAGUCAAGAAGGUACACCCAUUACAAUCCUCGGUUGUAGUCAAGAAGGUACACCCAUUACAAUCCUCGGUUGUAGUCAAGAAGGUACACCCAUUUCAACCCUCGGUUGUAGUUGAAAAUGUUCAAUCAAGUGAAAUCUGAAAUAGAAAUGUUAAACAGGAAAUAAAUGAAGUGAAAUCUAUAUCAACAAUUUGGAGAACAAGAAUAAUCAUUCAGUAUUUUAGAAUAUUAAAUUAUUUCUGAAAGAUUUAGACAAAAAAUGUGACACUUGGUGAUUAUUUCCUUCACACUUUGUUGUUGAGUUUUUAUACGACCGCAAAAAUUGAAAAUUUUUUGGUUGUAUAUUGGUAUGAUGUUAGCGUCGUCGUCAGCGUCGUCGUCUGCGUCGUCGUCGUCCGAAUACUAUUAGUUUUAGCACUCUAACUUUAGUAAAAGUGAAUAGAAAUCUAUGAAAUUUUAACACAAGGUUUAUGACCACAAAAGGAAGGUUGGGAUUGAUUUUGGGAGUUUUGGUCCCAAUAUUUUAGGAAUUAGGGGCCAAAAAGGGCCCAAAUAAGCAUUUUCUUGGUUUUUGCACUAUAACUUUAGUUUAAGUAAAUAGAAAUCUAUGAAAUUUUAACACAAGGUUUAUGACCACAAAAGGAAGGUUGGGAUUAAUUUUGGGAUCUUUGGUUCCAACAGUUUAGGAAUUAGGGGCCAAAAAAGGGCCCAAAUAAGCAUUAUUCUUGGUUUUCGCACAAUAACUUUAUUAUAGUAAAUAGAAAUCAAUGAAAUGUAAACAAGGUUUAUGACCACAAAAGGAAGGUUGGGAUUGAUUUUGGGAGUUGUGGGCCCAACAGUUUAGGAAUAAGGGGCCAAAAAGGGGCCCAAAUAAGCAUUAUUCUUGGUUUUCGCACCAUAACUUUAGUAUAAGUAAAUAGAAAUCUAUGAAAUUUAAACACAAGGUUUAUGGCCAUAAAAGGAAGGUUGGGUUUGAUUUUGGGAGUUUUGGUCCCAACAGUUUAGGAAUAAGGGGCCCAAAGGGUCC